AAUAGAUACCCAGGUAGUCCACGCCCUAAACUAUGUCGACUGGUUGUUGGGGGAGUCUGUCCCUCAGUAACGUAGCUAACGCGUGAAGUCGACCGCCUGGGGAGUACGGUCGCAAGAUUAAAACUCAAAGGAAUUGACGGGGACCCGCACAAGCGGUGGAUUAUGUGGAUUAAUUCGAUGCAACGCGAAGAACCUUACCUACCCUUGACAUGCCAGGAACCUCGCAGAGAUGUGAGGGUGCCCGAAAGGGAACCUGGACACAGGUGCUGCAUGGCUGUCGUCAGCUCGUGUCGUGAGAUGUUGGGUUAAGUCCCGCAACGAGCGCAACCCUUGCCAUUAGUUGCUACAUUCAGUUGGGCACUCUAAUGGGACUGCCGGUGACAAACCGGAGGAAGGUGGGGAUGACGUCAAGUCCUCAUGGCCCUUAUGGGUAGGGCUUCACACGUAAUACAAUGGCGCAUACAGAGGGCUGCAAACCCCGGCGAGGGGGGAGCCGAAUCCCAAAAAAGUGCGUCGUAGUCCGGAUUGUUCUCUGCAA
This 538-nucleotide ribosomal RNA is filed under the name uncultured bacterium. RNAcentral's name for it is "bacterial SSU rRNA". It matches the Rfam family "Bacterial small subunit ribosomal RNA", at positions 777 to 1310 of the family's 1533-position model. The record is from RNAcentral.